GAAAUGCGAUAAGUAAUGUGAAUUGCAGAAUUCAGUGAAUCAUCGAAUCUUUGAACGCAUCUUGCGCUCUCUGGUAUUCCGGGGAGCAUGCCUGUUUGAGAAUCGCAAAGCAACACAAAUCACAUUCAUGUUUGUGAAUGUGGAGUUGGGCCGUUUUCCUUCUCUCGCAGGAGAGAGGGAUGGCUUGAAAUGCAGAAGGCCGGUCUGGGUAAAACCAGAUGAUCAGGACAGAUUUAUUUCGGAGCAAUAAUAGUUAAUGCGCUCUGCGCGUUAUCCUUUUUGCUCUGUGUCUGCCCUGGUGUGUUGGCCUGACACUUUCUUUCUUGAAAAAGGAAGAGAGGAACUAGAGUAUCUCGACGAAGGAGUUAAUUACUCCUUCUGACCUCUUAGAUCUCAAAUC
RNAcentral lists this unclassified non-coding RNA (400 nucleotides) under uncultured fungus. Its description in RNAcentral is "sequence contains ITS1". The stretch from base 1 to 105 matches the Rfam family "5.8S ribosomal RNA", at positions 50 to 154 of the family's 154-position model. Lineage: Eukaryota; Fungi. The record is from RNAcentral.